CGGCUGGGCGGGCGGGCAGGCGACGGCGGACGGGCUCGCGGCCUAUCUGGCGCGGUUCGGGCUGCGCUGACCGGC
This 75-nucleotide transfer RNA is filed under the name Streptomyces thermodiastaticus. RNAcentral describes it as "tRNA-Ala". The record is from RNAcentral. Lineage: Bacteria; Bacillati; Actinomycetota; Actinomycetes; Kitasatosporales; Streptomycetaceae.